GGGGGGGGGCUGGCUGACGGGCUGCUUGAUCCGGUCUUCGUCGCCGGUGCAGCGGUUCUUCUCCGGACUCCUUCGCCGGAUGUUGUUCUGGACGACCAGCGGGCGUUGCUGGCUUCGUUCGGGCAGGCGUCUUCCCUCCUUGACGAAUCGGCACGCUCCGGAGUCCACCGAUUCGAGCGUGCCGAGAGGGGUCCCUCCUUGACGAUGAAGGCCAGCGGCCUGAGGGUUGUCGUCCUUUACGGGGAGGCGCCAGACAACAGGGGGUGGUCCUACGACGAUUAGACGUAGGCAGAGCGCGACGCGACUUAUACUGCCUAGGCCGACCAAUCCGGGUGAACGCGCGCUCACGGAACCUCCUGGUCCCGCACUUCCGCGUGAAGGCAGUUGGCAACCUUCACUCCAACGAGCGCGAACUGUCCACUCGGACGCCUGUAGAUUAAAAGAGGCCGAUCCUCCCCAGAUCGGCGCUUUUAUUGUUGAUCCCAAGUCCAGGAUUUCCCCAUCCAUUUUCCCGCUCUGUCGCAUGGGCGCUGCCAUGCUGCCCCAUCGGGAAAUAGAUGGACAUCGGCUUCACUUACAGCGGCACGCUUCACCCCUUUCCAACUGUCAAGUGUGGUGAAUGUGUAAUAAAAAUACUGAAGCGAAGCAUGAAUUCGUUAAGGAUUGUGACCAACGGUUACACUAUCCACUACCCCGGCGAAAAAAUGUGAAGGCACGAAGUGAAUGAACAUUUUUUUAAGCGAAAUGCAUUUCCAAAAUCGUUUUCAGCACUCCUCGGGUUCGCAGACUUGUGUAAGUGGUCACUUGUUUAUGUACAAGCCUCAUUGUAGGCACAUUUCUGCGUGUCCUAGUGACAAUCAAUCUCAAAGUUUAUUGAAAUUAUUCAAAAUAUUGAAAAAGUUGGCAUAGCAAACAAAUACAAAUAAAUAAAUUAAAAUUUAGACAUGCACUACAAUUUAAAAUAAAUUAUUAAAAAGAAUCCCAAAAUAUUAGUAGACAACUCUAUUUACAAUUUUACAUAAGCGUUCUUCAACGACUUCAACUUCCAUGGACUAUGCGCAUUUAAUCCAAUUUUAGAUCACAUUCGAUCAUAUUCGGAAGUUCACCACAAGGGUUCAUUCCUGACGGGUCAACUGUCUGACAGUUCCCGAAACGUCUCUAAUCUGUCAAAGGUCAGCAUAUCGCAUUGUUUACAUUGCGUAUAUGUGAAAGUGUAUUCAGGGUAAUUUUGACUAGUAUUGGUGGGCCACAGAGGGCAAAAUAGUGCGUGGAAGAUCGCUGCCAGGAACGCAGUCUUUUUCUAAAGACUGGCCUGCAGGAGUCCACUGAAAAUCCCGGGAUUCACCAUGAUAGCCAUCUUGACGCGCAAGAUCAGCUACAGGUCGACUGAUCCCCUCACCACUACACCACCAGCCGCGCUCAGACCGAGGGUUAUUAAUUUUCGCCCCUUGGUCAUCCACGAACUGGCCCGUUGGGCUAUGGAUCAUCGAUAACAAUGAUAUCGUCCACC
Molecule: long non-coding RNA, 1510 nt
Organism: Culex quinquefasciatus (southern house mosquito)
Lineage: Eukaryota; Metazoa; Arthropoda; Insecta; Diptera; Culicidae
Exons: 4
Source: RefSeq, a predicted model, not a curated record